Molecule: ribosomal RNA, 454 nt
Filed under: uncultured Pelotomaculum sp.
Lineage: Bacteria; Bacillati; Bacillota; Clostridia; Eubacteriales; Desulfotomaculaceae
Description: bacterial SSU rRNA
Rfam family: Bacterial small subunit ribosomal RNA
Source: RNAcentral
CGGUGGAGCAUGUGGUUUAAUUCGACGCAACGCGAAGAACCUUACCAGGGCUUGACAUCCCCUGACCGCGUAUGAAAGUACGUUUUCACCCUCGGGUGACAGGGAGACAGGUGGUGCAUGGUUGUCGUCAGCUCGUGUCGUGAGAUGUUGGGUUAAGUCCCGCAACGAGCGCAACCCCUACGUUUAGUUGCUAACGCGUGAAGGCGAGCACUCUAGACGAACUGCCGUUGACAAAACGGAGGAAGUGGGGAUGACGUCAAAUCAUCAUGCCCCUUAUGUUCUGGGCUACACACGUGCUACAAUGGCCGGUACAGACGGACGCAAAGCCGCGAGGUGGAGCAAAUCCUAAAAAGCCGGUCUCAGUUCGGAUUGCAGGCUACAAUUCGCCUGCAUGAAGUCGGAAUCGCUAGUAAUCGCAGGUCAGCAUACUGCGGUGAAUACGUUCCCGGGCCUU